UGCCGGCGACCGGCGCACGGGUGAGUAACACGUAUGCGACCUGCCCCCGCAGGGGGAUAACCGGGAGAAAUCCCGACUAAUACCGCGUAACGCCGCGGACCUGCAUGGGUCUGCGGCCAAAGGAAGCGAUUCCGGCGGGGGAUGGGCAUGCGGCGCAUUAGCUAGUCGGCGGGGUAACGGCCCACCGAGGCGACGAUGCGUAGGGGUUCUGAGAGGAAGGCCCCCCACACUGGAACUGAGACACGGUCCAGACUCCUACGGAAGGCAGCAG
RNAcentral lists this ribosomal RNA (271 nucleotides) under uncultured bacterium. RNAcentral describes it as "partial 16S ribosomal RNA". It matches the Rfam family "Bacterial small subunit ribosomal RNA", at positions 86 to 354 of the family's 1533-position model. The record is from RNAcentral.